UAGCAGCAUGAUUUAUAGUCCUUUGGGUAUAUACCCCAAAAACUAAGUCUGCUGAAGAACUAUGUGAGAGAGGAAGUUGAGAAAAGUGAGUGUUACUCCACUGUAUGUUAUCUUUAUUGUUUAGGUUGAGUAAUUUCUAUUGUUGUCUCUUCAAAUUCACCAAUUCCUUCUUUUGUUCUCUUCAUUCUGCUGUUUAGCUCUUCCAUUGAGUUUUUAAUUUUGGUUAUUGUGUUUUUCAAUUCUAAAAGUUCUAGUUGGUUCUUCUUUAUAUCUCACUUUUUUUUUUCUGAGACUUCCUAUUCUUUUUUUAAUAAUAUUUGAUUGGUCAUUGAAGAAUUUUUAUGAUGGCUGCUCUAAAAUCUUUGUCAGAUAUUUCCAAAAUCUAUGCCAUCUUACUGGUGCUGUAUUUUAUUGUUGUUUCUUACUGAAGUUGUGAUUUUUCUAAUUUUUGGUGUAAUGAAUAUUUUUUAUUGUAUCUGGGGGAUAUUUUGGGCAUUUUGUUAUGAGAUUCUGGAUCCUCUGUUUAAGCAGGAUGUUUCUGACAUCACUCCGGUUAAAGAAGAAUGCCAUUGCUUCAUUAAUGCUCAACGGGAGUAAAAAUCCAGUUUCCCCAGUUACUCUCCAUUGAUACUCUGUAGAGGAGUAUGUAACUCAUUGCUAGUUUUUAUAUGGCCUCCACUACUAAGGAGGCCUCAUUACUUUCAGGCAGGGACAGAAGAACUGUCUCUCCACUAGCCUUCUCUGACACCUCUUUUGCAAGCAGAAAGUGUGUCUCAUUACAACUGGGGGAGGUUGGAAGACUAGGCUCUCCAUUUGUCCUUUGCUAGCAGAGAUGCAGAGAUGAGUUUGAGGGCUGCAGUAUUUUCCAUGGUGUUGCCUAGAGUAGAGCAUUUAUUAUUUAUUGCUAGACUGCCUCUUUCCUUGUGCAUUGACUUAAAAGACCAGGAUUUCUUGGGACUUCUUAUUUGUUUUUCUCUUCCUUUUUUUUUUUUUUUUUUUUGAGACGCAGUCUUGCUCUGUUGCCCAGGCUGGAGUGCAAUGGCACAAUCCUGAAACCUCCGCCUCCCAGGUUAAAGUGAUUCUCCUGCCUCAGCUUCCUGAGUAGCUGGGAUUACAGGUGUCUGCCACCAUGUCUAGCUAGUUUUUGCAUUUUUAGUAGAGACAGGGUUUCACCAUGCUGACCAGGCUGGUCUCAAACUCCCACCUCAGGUAAUCUGCCCACCUUGGCCUCCCAAAGUGCUGGGAUUAUGGGCAUGAGCCACUGUGCCCAACCCUCGCUGGUGUUUCUGACUUGCCAGUCUCUUGAAUACCCAGUUCAGGGUAUAUAUAUGGUCAAAAAACAAACAAACAGACAAACAAACAAACAAAACCCUGUAAAACCACCAUGUCAUUUCUUGGGUCUGAGUUCUUUAGCUAGUAUUCUGCCUUCUCUCUAACUUUCAGAGUCUUAUUAUACUUGUUUUAUAUAUAAUGUCCAAGAUUUUUAGUUUUUCUUAGCUAAAGGAGAAACAGGGAAGAAUGCGUUAAAUGUAUUUUGCCUAGAACUGGGAGUCCCCAAUGUCUAUAACCCGUAAGUUAAGAAUAGUUUUUUACAUUUUAAAAUAUUAGUAAAAAUGGAAAUAACAAUAGCAUUUUAUGACAUAAAAAUUAUAUAAAAUUCAAAUUUCAGUAUUCAUAAUUGAAUGUGUACUAGAAACUGACAAUCAAAAAAGAAAAUUUUGGGGGUGUUGAAUGCAGUACUCAGAAAUAUCUUAUCUGAAGAGUAGGGAAAAACCAAACUUAAACCAAAAGGUAUUCUGGUUCUUCCUUUAAAAAAAAGAUUGGGAAAGAACAAAAUAUUUCUGAGUAACAACCCCAUUGCAUAAAAAAGUUCAAGUAUAUUUAUAGAAAUACAAAAUUAGCAAGCACUCCACAAGAUAAAAUUCAACAUGACAUAAAUGGGUGACAGAUAUAAAAAAUGAUAUGGGUGACAGAUAUAAACAAGUUUCAAAAAAAUUUAUAAAGAUGAAACAACAACAAUGUCUUUGAUCAAAUAUACAUUGGAUAGAAUUAAAGGCAGAUUAGACUUUGCAGAAGAAAAAAUAUGAUCUGGAAAAAUACAGCAAUAGAAAUAAUCCAGAAUAAAGCACAAAAAAGAAUUAAAAAUGCAAAACAUUUAAACCAUUAUGUUAAUGGGAAUAAAUGAUACCAAAUGUAUACAAAAUUUUCCAGAAAAUUUAGGAAGAGAUUAGUUUAUACUUAGUAUAUAAGUCUGACCAUAUUCUGAUACCAAGAUUAAAGAUGUGAACAGAAAACUUCAGACCUGUGUAUCUAAAACAGUGAUACAGAAUUUCCUAAAAAUACUUUAGCAAAUUAAAUUCACACACACACACACACACACACACACACACACACACACACGAUUAAUACACCAUGGGGCUUAAUUUAUAAAUACAAUACUGGAUCAACAUUCAAAAAUCAAUGUAAGCCUCCAUAUUAACAGAAUAAAUUUUUUAAAAGAUUACUUCAAUAGGUGCAGAAAAACAUCUGGCAAAAUCCAACAUUAAUUCCAAGAAAAACUCUCAGCAAACUAAGAAUAUGGGAAGCUUCCUCAACAUGAUAAAGCAUAUCAACAAAAAUCCUACAGAGUGAAACAUAAAACUACCAUAUGACCCAGGUAUUUCACUCCUACAUGUUUACCGAGAUAAAUGAAAGCAUGCAUCCAUAGGUAAAUAUGGAAUACAACGCAGCAAUAAAAAUGAAUCAACUAUUUGUACACAAAGCAAAACUCACGAAAAGAGCCAGACAAAAGGGUAUGUAUGGCUUGGGUCCAUUGAUUUUAGAAAGUGUAAACUCAUCUACAGCGACAGAAAGUAGAUCAGUCAUGUUCUGUGUACAUCAGGAAUAGAGGAUGGAGAUAAUGGAGAGAAAUUACCAGUGGGAAUGGAGAAACUUCUUUCGAGAGUGAUGUUCAUUGAUUUGAUUGUGUUGAUGAUUACAUGAGAUGUAUUUACGUCAAAACAUAUCAGAUUGUACACUUUAAAUAUAUGCAAUCAUUUUUUCAGUUAUACCUCAAUAAAAUUCUUUCAAGGCAAAUAAAACAUCAAUUGGAAAUGAGAAUUCAGAACGUAAUUGAUAGAACAAAAAUAAUGCAUUUCUCUCAAAAAUUGAGGGAUUUCAUUUACAUGCAGAGGAGGAUAUGUUAGCGCUGUGCAGGGAUGCUAGCCCAAAUAACAGAAACAGAAGUAAAAAAAUACAUCUGGCAACCCUUCUGUAAUAACCUCACUCAGGUAGAAACAGGCUUCUCAGUUAAAUCUAGUAGAGCACAAAUCUCCAUUUAUGAAUAUUUAAUACUAGUAACCCACACUAUUAACUUAUUUUAGCAUGUUAGUAGUAGAUAGGCUUUUUGAGUAAGUGAAGAGUAAAAAGCUAUGGCAUUUUGUGUUAUUAAGCUUCAAAAAAAUAAAGUUCUGUUAAACAAAAGUUUGCAGGACAUUAGGAGGCUGCAACCUG
Molecule: long non-coding RNA, 3492 nt
Filed under: Homo sapiens (human)
Lineage: Eukaryota; Metazoa; Chordata; Mammalia; Primates; Hominidae
Description: HSALNT0118990
Source: RNAcentral